This is a microRNA precursor of Ictidomys tridecemlineatus (thirteen-lined ground squirrel), 95 nucleotides long. The record is from Ensembl. Lineage: Eukaryota; Metazoa; Chordata; Mammalia; Rodentia; Sciuridae.
GCUGUGGGGAUCGGGCACUGUGGUUCCUGCAUGAAAACAGUGGCUGGUGGUGCCUGGACCUAUAACACCACCUCUGCUGUCACAGUCAAGUCUGC